Molecule: ribosomal RNA, 271 nt
Filed under: uncultured bacterium
Lineage: Bacteria
Description: partial 16S ribosomal RNA
Rfam family: Bacterial small subunit ribosomal RNA
Source: RNAcentral
UGGGCCUACGGGAGGCAGCAGUGGGGAAUAUUGCACAAUGGGGGAAACCCUGAUGCAGCGACGCCGCGUGAGUGAGGAAGUAUUUCGGUAUGUAAAGCCCUAUCAGCAGGGAAGAACAAUGACGGUACCUGACUAAGAAGCACCGGCUAACUACGUGCCAGCAGCCGCGGUAAUACGUAUGGUGCAAGCGUUAUCCGGAUUUACUGGGUGUAAAGGGAGCGCAGGCGGCGCGUUAAGCCUGGUGUGAAAGCCCGCGGCCCAACCGCGGGAC